CCAUCGACCCCGCGCUGCUGCCUGACCCCCGACCUGGUAGCAACGCGGGGUCUUCGC
This is a non-coding RNA of Rhodococcus pyridinivorans SB3094, 57 nucleotides long. The record is from Rfam. Lineage: Bacteria; Bacillati; Actinomycetota; Actinomycetes; Mycobacteriales; Nocardiaceae.